RNAcentral lists this ribosomal RNA (497 nucleotides) under uncultured bacterium. Its description in RNAcentral is "partial 16S ribosomal RNA". It matches the Rfam family "Bacterial small subunit ribosomal RNA", at positions 28 to 507 of the family's 1533-position model. The record is from RNAcentral.
GAUGAACGCUGGCGGCGUGCCUAAUACAUGCAAGUCGAGCGAACAGACGAGGAGCUUGCUCCUCUGACGUUAGCGGCGGACGGGUGAGUAACACGUGGAUAACCUACCUAUAAGACUGGGAUAACUUCGGGAAACCGUAGCUAAUACCGGAUAAUAUAUUGAACCGCAUGGUUCAAUAGUGAAAUACGGUUUUGCUGUCACUUAUAGAUUGAUCCGCGCCGCAUUAGCUAGUUGGUAAGGUAACGGCUUACCAAGGCAACGAUGCGUAGCCGACCUGAGAGGGUGAUCGGCCACACUGGAACUGAGACACGGUCCAGACUCCUACGGGAGGCAGCAGUAGGGAAUCUUACGCAAUGGGCGAAAGCCUGACGGAGCAACGCCGCGUGAGUGAUGAAGGUCUUCGGAUCGUAAAACUCUGUUAUUAGGGAAGAACAAAUGUGUAAGUAACUAUGCACGUCUUGACGGUACCUAAUCAGAAAGCCACGGCUAACUACGUG